Molecule: ribosomal RNA, 1705 nt
Filed under: Diploprion bifasciatus
Lineage: Eukaryota; Metazoa; Chordata; Actinopteri; Perciformes; Serranidae
Description: 16S ribosomal RNA
Rfam family: Bacterial large subunit ribosomal RNA
Source: RNAcentral
AGCUGAACAGCUAGCCCAACCCUCCCUAAUCAACACAUCUUUAUUUAUACCCCCUCAUGCACUAGAGCUAACUUAACUAAACCAUUCUCCCUUCUUAGUAUAGGCGAUAGAAAAGAACCAUGGCGCAAUAGAAAAAGUACCGCAAGGGAACGCUGAAAGAGGAAUGAAACAACUCAGUAAAGCCCAAAACAGCAGAGAUAUUUCCUCGUACCUUUUGCAUCAUGAUUUAGCUAGUAUCACCCGAGCAAAGCGCACUUUAGUUCGACACCCCGAAACUAAGUGAGCUACUCCAAGACAGCCUAAAAUUAAGGGCAAACCCGUCUCUGUGGCAAAAGAGUGGGAAGAGCUUUGAGUAGCGGUGACAGACCUACCGAACUUAGUUAUAGCUGGUUGUCCGAGAAUUGAAUAGAAGUUCAGCCUCACGGCUUCUCUCGUGAACCUCAACCUUUUAAUACACCCGACACACCGAGUAAACCGUGGGAGUUAGUCAAAGGGGGUACAGCCCCUUUGACACAAGAUACAACUUUACAAGAAGGGUAAAGAUCAUAAUUAGCCAAGGCAACAUGUUAUGGUGGGCCUAAGAGCAGCCAUCCAAACCGAAAGCGUUAAAGCUUAAACAUACCGCCCACCCCUCAAAUUCCGAUUGAAACUCUAAACCCUCUACCACUACCGGACUAUUCCAUGCACACAUGGAAGCACCAAUGCUAAUAUGAGUAAUAAGAAAGCACACGCCUUUCUCCUUGCACAUGUGUAUAUCGAAAUGGACCCACCACCGAACAUUAACGGCCCCAAACAUAGAGGGUAAUGAACCACCAAAAUAAAAUACAAGAAAAACACCCAGCAUAUUUACCGUUGACCCCACACAGGAGUGCCUCAAAGGAAAGACUAAAAGAAAGAAAAGGAACUCGGCAAACACAAUACAAGCCUCGCCUGUUUACCAAAAACAUCGCCUCUUGUAACCAAACAGAUAAGAGGUCCCGCCUGCCCUGUGACUAUAUGUUUAACGGCCGCGGUAUUUUGACCGUGCGAAGGUAGCGCAAUCACUUGUCUCUUAAAUGGAGACCUGUAUGAAUGGCAUAACGAGGGCUUAACUGUCUCCUCUUUCAAGUCAAUGAAAUUGAUCUCCCCGUGCAGAAGCGGGGAUUCACCCAUAAGACGAGAAGACCCUAUGGAGCUUUAGAUAAUGGAAUAGACCAUGCUAAAUCUCACCAGAUAACGCACAUAGAAGCUAAAUGGGCCCUAUUCUUACAUAUCUUUGGUUGGGGCGACCGCGGAGCAACAAAGAACCUCCACAUGGAAUGAGCACACUUGUUCUUAAAACUAAGAGUUACACCUCUAAUUACAGAAAUUCUGACCAAUAAUGAUCCGGCAACGCCGAUUAAUGAACUCAGUUACCCUAGGGAUAACAGCGCAAUCUCCUUUUAGAGCCCAUAUCGACAAGGAGGUUUACGACCUCGAUGUUGGAUCAGGACAUCCUAAUGGUGCAGCCGCUAUUAAGGGUUCGUUUGUUCAACGAUUAAAGUCCUACGUGAUCUGAGUUCAGACCGGAGUAAUCCAGGUCAGUUUCUAUCUAUGACAUAAUCUUUUCUAGUACGAAAGGACCGAAAAGAAGAGGCCCAUUCCGAUAGCACGCCUCCCCCCUACCUAAUGAAGACAACUAAAAUAGAUAAGUGGGAAUAUUAACCUGCCAGAGAGUAUGGUACGU